Molecule: transfer RNA, 68 nt
Filed under: Arcos sp. KU 149
Lineage: Eukaryota; Metazoa; Chordata; Actinopteri; Blenniiformes; Gobiesocidae
Also listed under: 2 other names
Description: tRNA-Ser
Source: RNAcentral
AAGAGAGGCUAGAAUGCAGCAAAGACUGCUAAUCUUUGCAACUUCGGUUUGACUCCGGGGCUCACUUG